AGAACUCUCAAUCAUUUUUGUUCCUACCCGUAUAUUAUUUCAACGCUAUUCUUCAACAGUAAAAAAAAUGGAGAUAUCUCUCUCCCUCCCUCUCUCUCCAUCAUCAACAACAACUCAGCAGCAACAGGUCCUCUCUAACCAUACUCUAUCCUCAUCUCCAAAUUACACUAUCAAAUCCAACAAAUUCACGACCCUGCCACUUCUCUGUCACAAUCAUCUUUGUAAUCGCUCCAGUGCUUUGUAUUUCUCGUCAUCCUCAUCCAUGGAAGCGGCCCCUCCUGAAGGUUACAGAAGAAACGACGGCAUUUGUAUCGUCAAUCCUCCCAAAAUGGUCACAUGUUCAUACUAUUCUCUCUCUAGAAUUAGUUUCUCAUUCUGUCUCUAAAUGUAAAAUACACAUAAGAAAAGCUAGCAUUAUAAUUGUGGUUUCUAUUUAUGUAUAACAUAUGUUCACUUUGUUCUCAUUAUUAUACCUUUUUUUUUUAUAUAUAUAUAUUAAAAUUAUGAUCAAUUAAGUUU
Molecule: long non-coding RNA, 519 nt
Organism: Camellia sinensis
Lineage: Eukaryota; Viridiplantae; Streptophyta; Magnoliopsida; Ericales; Theaceae
Source: RefSeq, a predicted model, not a curated record